RNAcentral lists this ribosomal RNA (483 nucleotides) under Lelliottia amnigena. RNAcentral describes it as "bacterial SSU rRNA". It matches the Rfam family "Bacterial small subunit ribosomal RNA", at positions 46 to 524 of the family's 1533-position model. Lineage: Bacteria; Pseudomonadati; Pseudomonadota; Gammaproteobacteria; Enterobacterales; Enterobacteriaceae. The record is from RNAcentral.
GCCUACCAUGCAAGUCGAGCGGUAGCACAGGGAGCUUGCUCCUGGGUGACGAGCGGCGGACGGGUGAGUAAUGUCUGGGAAACUGCCUGAUGGAGGGGGAUAACUACUGGAAACGGUAGCUAAUACCGCAUAACGUCGCAAGACCAAAGAGGGGGACCUUCGGGCCUCUUGCCAUCAGAUGUGCCCAGAUGGGAUUAGCUAGUAGGUGGGGUAAUGGCUCACCUAGGCGACGAUCCCUAGCUGGUCUGAGAGGAUGACCAGCCACACUGGAACUGAGACACGGUCCAGACUCCUACGGGAGGCAGCAGUGGGGAAUAUUGCACAAUGGGCGCAAGCCUGAUGCAGCCAUGCCGCGUGUAUGAAGAAGGCCUUCGGGUUGUAAAGUACUUUCAGCGAGGAGGAAGGCAUUGUGGUUAAUAACCACAGUGAUUGACGUUACUCGCAGAAAAGCACCGGCUAACUCCGUGCCAGCGCCGCGGUAAU